This 247-nucleotide small RNA is filed under the name Pelobates cultripes (western spadefoot toad). The record is from RNAcentral. Lineage: Eukaryota; Metazoa; Chordata; Amphibia; Anura; Pelobatidae.
GAGUGAGGGUGUGACUAGUGACAGUUAGGCAGGGAAGGGGUGACUAGUGACAGAGGGAGGGGUGACUAGGGACAGAGUGAGGGAGGUGGUGACUAGUGACAGUCACCACCUCCCUCACUCUGUCACUAGUCACCACCUCCCUCCGUCACUGUGUCACCCCCUCCCUCACUCUGUCACCAGUCAUCCCCUUACUCUGUCACUAGUCACCCCUCCCUCACUCUGCCACUAGUCACCCCUUCCCUCACUC